CCGGAUGGAACGCCGAAUCCUGCCGCCGUCCGGGAAUCCGAAACCCACUCACGUACGGCAGGAGCGGGGGACCCAGGUAAGUCGCCGAUCCGUGACCGGAACGGCUUGGGGUGAAGUCGCACGACCGUGCGGCCAGGCAUCUCCCGUCUGAACCCGACAGCUCACCUCGUAGGCGCCGGAGAGGAAAUUC
Non-coding RNA from Streptomyces sp. MMG1522, 190 nucleotides. NCBI's taxonomy places the organism in Bacteria, Bacillati, Actinomycetota, Actinomycetes, Kitasatosporales, Streptomycetaceae. The record is from Rfam.